GGGGAUCAAACUCAGGACCUUACAAUUGCAAGGCAGAGAUAAACUACGGAGCGCACAGUGGGUGUUCAAAAACCAUGCAAGAGGUGCUUGCGAAGGCGGCACUGCUCCUCGGUGGCAGCACUCUGGCAGAAGGAGGGACGCAAGCCAGGCAUUUUCCGUGCCAGGCUGGGUACCACGGUCACUUACUGAAAGCCACGGCGGGAAAACCGCGGGCCGAGGGAGCGGCUCGCGGCGGCUCGCGGCAGCGCGCGCUCUGCUGGCGGGGGAGAAAUCUGCCGAUCCGCCCGCUCUGUGGUCCUAGGAAUUAGACUUCAGCGGACUUCACAGGCUGCUGAUUCCUCAGGCCCCCUCCAGAGGCUGCUGCGAGGGAUCGCUCAGGGCUUCAGAGUGGAUCUGCAGGGACUGGUGCUGUCCCCGAGACGAGCGAGCCUGCGUGGCCAGCCUGACUGAAGAAGACACGGAGCUGUGCACCAGCACGGCGUGGCAUGGUAAUCUCAGCACGCUGGGAGGCUGAGGCAGGAGGAUCGCAAAUCUGAGCCCCGCCUGGACAAUUUAGUGACUUCAGGAGACCUUGUCUCAAAAAAAAAAAAAAAAAAAAAGAAAAAAAAUUUUAAAGUCUGGGGAUGGCUCAGUACAAUACAAUCCAACAACAAUACAAAUCCAGUACAAUGCUGGACUUCAAUUCCCCAGUGCUAUAAAAAUAAAUAAACAAAUAUUAAAAAGUAAAAAGGAGGCAGGUGUGGUGGCACAGCCCUGUAAUCCCAGAACUGAGGAUGCUGAGGCAGGAGGAUUGCAAGUUCAAACCCAGCCUGGGUUAUAUAGCAAGACCCUGGUCUUACAAAAGGAAAAAAUAAAUAGG
This 859-nucleotide long non-coding RNA is filed under the name Heterocephalus glaber (naked mole-rat). RNAcentral's name for it is "lncRNA (ENSHGLG00000034000.1)". The record is from RNAcentral. Lineage: Eukaryota; Metazoa; Chordata; Mammalia; Rodentia; Bathyergidae.